RNAcentral lists this ribosomal RNA (1578 nucleotides) under Triticum aestivum (bread wheat). RNAcentral's name for it is "partial small subunit ribosomal RNA". Lineage: Eukaryota; Viridiplantae; Streptophyta; Magnoliopsida; Poales; Poaceae. The record is from RNAcentral.
AUGGCUGACGACGACGCCGCCAAGAGGAAGGCCUCGGCCGAUGCCGAGGCUGCCGUUGCCGCCGCCGCGUUGGCCUGGCCAACCGGAGGCACGGGAACUGGCCACCGCGAUCAUGUCGCCGAUCUCGCUUGUUGGCCCGACGCCGGCGGACCACGAAGCUCCAGCCACUUAGAGAAUCUUCUCCGUGAGGCCGGCCUGUACGAGACCUCCGAUGAGCUGGCGGCCCGCGAGGAUGUGCUGCGCGAUCUCGAGGCCAUCGUCGACCGGUGGGUGAAGCGCGUCACCGCUCACCGAGGGUUUCCCGACGGCAUGGCUGAGCAGGCCACCGCCCUUCUGAUUCCGUUCGGUUCGUACCGUCUCGGCGUCCACGGCCGCGGCUCCGACAUCGACGCCCUCGUCGUCGGCCCCUCCUACAUCGACCGCGACCACGACUUCUUCGCCGUGCUCGGCGGCGUGCUAGCGGAGACGGAGGCGGUGACGGAGCUGCAGCCCGUGCCUCGCGCGCACGUGCCCGUCAUCAAGAUGAGGUUCCGCGGCGUGCAGGUGGACCUCCUCUACGCCAGCGUGUGCCUCCCGGUGGUGCCCAGGGACCUCGACCUGCGCGACCGCUCCGUUUUCCGCGGCAUGGACCUGGCCUCCGCGCGCAGCCUCAACGGCGUGCGCGUCGCCGACGAGCUCCUGCGCCUCGUCCCGGACGCCGGCGCGUUCCGCACGACGCUGCGAUGCAUCAAGCACUGGGCCAAGGCGCGUGGCCUCUACCCCAACGCCGCGCCGAGCAUGCUGGUGCCGCGCUUCUUCAAGAUCUUCGCGCAGUGGAAGUGGCCCAACCCGAUUCUGCUGCGGGAAAUCGAGCACGACGACGGCGGCGAGCUCGCGCUCCGGCUGCCCGUCUGGGACCCGCGGCGGAACCCGCGCGACAAGAGCCACAUCAUGCCCGUCAUCACGCCGGCCUACCCAUGCAUGAACUCGUGCUACAACGUCUCGCACGCCACCCUGCGGACCAUCACGGAGCAGCUCCAGAUCGGCAACGGCAUCUGCCAGGAGAUCCUCAAGGCCGGCGGGUGGGACGCGCUGUUCCAGCCGUUUCAGUUUUUCAAGGCGUACAAGAGCUACCUGCAGGUGGAUGUGAAGGUCGCCGGAGGGGAUGCCGACCUCCGGGAGUGGAAGGGGUGGGUGGAGUCGCGGCUGAGGCAGCUGGUGAACAGGGUCGAGAUGGCCACGGCCGGCAUGCUGCUCUGGCAGCAGCAGCCCCAGGUGCCGUUCGACCUACGCGCGACGACGGAGGGGUUCAAGCAGGAGGUGUACACGUACGAGUUCUGGAGGCCCGGGAUGGAGCUGGAGGUCUCGCACACCCGGAGGAAGGACCUGCCGUCCUACGUGCUCGAGCAGAUCCUCCCGGCUGGGCAUCUCAAGAGGAAGCGCGCCGCCGAGAGCAACUCUUCUCCUCCGUUGUCGUCUGCUUCCGGCGACGUCAAGAAGGGGGCGGCCGCAGGCGGAACCGGAUCGUCGCCUGAGAGGAAGAGGCAAUGUUGUCCCAGCAAUAUCCUCCCCAGUGCUUCAGUACAGGGCGUUGUGUGA